Molecule: long non-coding RNA, 561 nt
Organism: Cornus florida
Lineage: Eukaryota; Viridiplantae; Streptophyta; Magnoliopsida; Cornales; Cornaceae
Exons: 3
Source: RefSeq, a predicted model, not a curated record
UUCUCAACCCGCCUCCAAGCCCUCACGCCUUUUCUACCUUGCAGAAAACAGAGGCUAGCUCUUCCACCCUUUUCCACCGUUGCAGAAGACAUGGAAUCUUUCACCUUCUUCUAGCAGCAAAGGCCGAAUAACCCAAUCGUUCCAACAGCCACUCUUAAUCGUAAGGUACAACAUUUUUAGGGUUUUUGAUUUCUGUAAAUCUUUGUGUUUUUGCUUGAUCUGAUGGUCCAUGUAGUUUGGGAUUACACAUUCUUCGAAGAGAAUCUCGAGUUUCCUAAGAACCAACCAGUUUCGCACCGCCUCUUUGCCUUUCUAAAACGCUCCGACUUGUCACGCUGGCCAACCGACGAAGGGCGGACGAACGAAUAAGCCAAGGCUGACAACGUUCAACGGCGGCUACCGUUUGGAUGGGACAUCCCACUACAUGAAAUGGUUAAUUCUUCUGCUGUGCUACAUUGUAAUCGGAGCUUGCUUUUUCGUUUCCAAAACACCACUGAAUGAUGCAAAUGACUUACACUCUGGAGUUAGAUCAUCAACUGAAGGAAUCCUUAGAGUCUGAUA